CAAAUCCUUGCCCUUAAUACCCUUAUACUAGCCAGAAGGCAUUCGAAUAGGAAUUGACUCAAUGAAGCGGGGAGCCGGUGGCGUAACUCAGUUCCUCUGGCUGUCUCUCUCCGCUCAGGCUCGGAAGAUUUGCCUUCUGCAACCAUUCUUUCCGCGGAGCUGAGCUGGAGCCAGAAGAACGUUUUAUCUGAGAGGAGAAUCAGAAAGACUGCGGGAGGCUCUGAUCAGCUUUCCAGGGCCAUGGAAACAGCCCGAGUCCAUCAUCCUCCCAGGAGGCAGCUGUGCGUGGCCGUUCAGCCAGGAGACACUGAGCCGGGGCCGGGAGAAAGAGGAGGAGACCCGGGCAAUCUGGCUUCAGCCCGAUACAGCCAAGCUGAAAACGCGCAGCACUGCCCUCCGCGAGCGACUCGGGGUCACGAGGCGAGAGACACGCCAAAAAGAGCGGAAUGCCUGUCAUAGAGCCCAACGCAACCGGAGCACACACGAAUGUCUGCGUACAUGUAUCUGCAUUUGUAUGGUAAAUUCCACUCCAGGAAAAUCCUUGGGAAACCAUUCCUAUCCGGGAGAUGAGAAGAAUGCCAACCACCCUAGUCACCCACACAACCAUCAUCUGCAGCUCUUGGGGAAUGGGCACGUUGUUUCCUGGCCUAUCCUUUGUCCUGGAUCUCAGU
Molecule: long non-coding RNA, 671 nt
Filed under: Monodelphis domestica (gray short-tailed opossum)
Lineage: Eukaryota; Metazoa; Chordata; Mammalia; Didelphimorphia; Didelphidae
Description: lncRNA (ENSMODG00000046486.1)
Source: RNAcentral